GGAAGUAAAGGUCGUAACAAGGUCUCCGUAGGUGAACCUGCGGAGGGAUCAUUACAGAGUUCAUGCCCUCCGGGUAGAUCUCCCACCCAUUGCUAUAACUACUCUCGUUGCUUUGGCGGGCCGCUGGGCCCUGCCCGGCCGCCGGCCCCGGCUGGCGCGUGCCCGCCAGAGACCUCACAGACUCUGAAUGUUAGUGUCGUCCGAGUAACUAUACAAUCGUUAAAACUUUCAACAACGGAUCUCUUGGUUCUG
Molecule: unclassified non-coding RNA, 252 nt
Filed under: plant metagenome
Description: partial contains small subunit ribosomal RNA, internal transcribed spacer 1, and 5.8S ribosomal RNA
Rfam family: Eukaryotic small subunit ribosomal RNA (bases 1-54)
Source: RNAcentral